Molecule: ribosomal RNA, 301 nt
Filed under: uncultured bacterium
Lineage: Bacteria
Description: partial 16S ribosomal RNA
Rfam family: Bacterial small subunit ribosomal RNA
Source: RNAcentral
CAGCCGCCGCGGUAAUACGUAUGUCACAAGCGUUAUCUGGAUUUAUUGGGCGUAAAGCGCGUCUAGGUGGUUAUGUAAGUCUGAUGUGAAAAUGCAGGGCUCAACUCUGUAUUGCGUUGGAAACUGUGUAACUAGAGUACUGGAGAGGUAAGCGGAACUACAAGUGUAGAGGUGAAAUUCGUAGAUAUUUGUAGGAAUGCCGAUGGGGAAGCCAGCUUACUGGACAGAUACUGACGCUAAAGUGCGAAAGCGUGGGUAGCAAACAGGAUUAGAUACCCCGGUAGUCCCUGUCUCUUAUACA